GACGAACGCUGGCGGCGUGCUUAACACAUGCAAGUCGAACGGAAAGGCCCUGCUUUUGUGGGGUGCUCGAGUGGCGAACGGGUGAGUAACACGUGAGUAACCUGCCCUUGACUUUGGGAUAACUUCAGGAAACUGGGGCUAAUACCGGAUAGGAGCUCCUGCUGCAUGGUGGGGGUUGGAAAGUUUCGGCGGUUGGGGAUGGACUCGCGGCUUAUCAGCUUGUUGGUGGGGUAGUGGCUUACCAAGGCUUUGACGGGUAGCCGGCCUGAGAGGGUGACCGGCCACAUUGGGACGGAGCUACGGCCCAGACUCCUACGGGAGGCAGCAGUGGGGAAUAUUGCACAAUGGGCGGAAGCCUGAUGCAGCAACGCCGCGUGCGGGAUGACGGCCUUCGGGUUGUAAACCGCUUUCGCCUGUGACGAAGCGUGAGUGACGGUAAUGGGUAAAGAAGCACCGGCUAACUACGUG
Molecule: ribosomal RNA, 468 nt
Filed under: uncultured bacterium
Lineage: Bacteria
Description: partial 16S ribosomal RNA
Rfam family: Bacterial small subunit ribosomal RNA
Source: RNAcentral